RNAcentral lists this ribosomal RNA (251 nucleotides) under uncultured bacterium. RNAcentral's name for it is "partial 16S ribosomal RNA". It matches the Rfam family "Bacterial small subunit ribosomal RNA", at positions 524 to 776 of the family's 1533-position model. The record is from RNAcentral.
UACAGAGGGUGCAAGCGUUAAUCGGAAUUACUGGGCGUAAAGCGUGCGUAGACGGUUACAUAAGUCGGGUGUGAAAGCCCCGGGCUCAACCUGGGAAUUGCAUUCGAGACUGCGUAGCUAGGGUGCGGAAGAGGGAAGCGGAAUUUCCGGUGUAGCGGUGAAAUGCGUAGAUAUCGGAAGGAACACCAGUGGCGAAAGCGGCUCCUGGUCCAGCACCGACGUUCAGGCACGAAAGCGUGGGAGCAAACAGG